Molecule: ribosomal RNA, 930 nt
Filed under: Trichophyton interdigitale
Lineage: Eukaryota; Fungi; Ascomycota; Eurotiomycetes; Onygenales; Arthrodermataceae
Description: LSU rRNA
Rfam family: Eukaryotic large subunit ribosomal RNA
Source: RNAcentral
AUUAAGCAUAUCAAAUAAGCGGAGGAAAAAGAAACCAACAGGGAUUGCCCAGUAACGGCGAGUGAAGCGGCAAGAGCUCAAAUUUGAAAUCUGGCCUCCCCCGGGGGCCCGAGUUGUAAUUUGCAGAGGAUGCUUCGGGUGCGGCCGCCGUCUAAGUUCCUUGGAACAGGACGUCAGAGAGGGUGAGAAUCCCGUCUUGGGCGGGCGGUCCGCGCCCGUGUGAAGCUCCUUCGACGAGUCGAGUUGUUUGGGAAUGCAGCUCUAAGCGGGUGGUAAAUUUCAUCUAAAGCUAAAUAUUGGCCGGAGACCGAUAGCGCACAAGUAGAGUGAUCGAAAGGUUAAAAGCACCUUGAAAAGGGAGUUAAACAGCACGUGAAAUUGUUGAAAGGGAAGCGCUUGCGGCCAGACUCGGGGGCGGGGUUCAGCGGGUGCUCGUCGCCCGUGUAUUCCUCGUCUCCCGGGCCAGCAUCAGUUUCGACGGCCGGUCAAAGGCCCCCGGAAUGUGUCGUCUCUCGGGACGUCUUAUAGCCGGGGGUGCAAUGCGGCCCGUCGGGACUGAGGAACGCGCUCCGGCUCGGAUGCUGGCGUAAUGGCCGUAAGCGGCCCGUCUUGAAACACGGACCAAGGAGUCUAACAUCCACGCGAGUGUUCGGGUGUCAAACCCGUGCGCGCAGUGAAAGCGAACGGAGGUGGGAGCCUUAGGGCGCACCAUCGACCGAUCCUGAAGUCUUCGGAUGGAUUUGAGUAGGAGCGUGGCCGUUGGGACCCGAAAGAUGGUGAACUAUGCCUGAAUAGGGUGAAGCCAGAGGAAACUCUGGUGGAGGCUCGCAGCGGUUCUGACGUGCAAAUCGAUCGUCAAAUUUGGGCAUAGGGGCGAAAGACUAAUCGAACCAUCUAGUAGCUGGGUUCUGCGAAGUCUCCUUCAGGAAA